RNAcentral lists this ribosomal RNA (446 nucleotides) under uncultured bacterium. RNAcentral describes it as "partial 16S ribosomal RNA". It matches the Rfam family "Bacterial small subunit ribosomal RNA", at positions 338 to 795 of the family's 1533-position model. The record is from RNAcentral.
CCUACGGGUGGCAGCAGUCGAGAAUCAUUCACAAUGGGGGAAACCCUGAUGGUGCGACGCCGCGUGGGGGAAUGAAGGUCUUCGGAUUGUAAACCCCUGUCAUGUGGGAGCAAAUUAAAAAGAUAGUACCACAAUAGGAAGAGACGGCUAACUCUGUGCCAGCAGCCGCGGUAAUACAGAGGUCUCAAGCGUUGUUCGGAAUCACUGGGCGUAAAGCGUGCGUAGGCUGUUUCGUAAGUCGUGUGUGAAAGGCGCGGGCUCAACCCGCGGACGGCACAUGAUACUGCGAGACUAGAGUAAGGGAGGGGGAACCGGAAUUCUCGGUGUAGCAGUGAAAUGCGUAGAUAUCGAGAGGAACACUCGUGGCGAAGGCGGGUUCCUGGACAGUAACUGACGCUGAGGCACGAAGGCCAGGGGAGCGAAAGGGAUUAGAUACCCUUGUAGUC